AAGUGGACAAGGCAGUUGCAGAGAGAAUUGCAGGCGGAGACCAGAGCAAGCUCGAGCUGCUGCCUGGACAACGAAGAACAUCAACGUUGUGAUUUUGUCUUUAGCUGGGCUCGACUUCAGAAUAGCCAGAGGCCGGUCACGAGGUGCCCGAUGUGUUGGUGUUUUGAUCACUGUGAGUGAAUAAGCUGAGGGAAGUGGGGAAACACAGACGUGAAGGAGCCUGGUGCAGAAAUAACCUGUUCUGCCAAUGCAAGCAGCACUUUGGAAGAAAAACGAACAGUACAGAACAUGGUUAACCUUGGUCGUGAAUGAAAUGUCUGGAGCUGAAAUCCAUCACUGUUAGAGUUCUGCGAGUGGAAAGAUACCUGGAGAGAUCUGCAUGAAUGAUAGAACUCAGUUGCAGCAGCUGGAAUGUAUGUGAGCCUUGAUGAAUUUGAGUGCCUGUCGCCCUUUGCCCCCCCGUGCCCUUCCAAACACUGCUGUAAGUGCACUGUCCUGGAAUGGUGCAGCCACAGCAUCUUUGUUCUUUGUACCUCCUUUCUUUUCCCCUGCCUCAAGACAUAAAUUAUGUGCCUGCCUUUGUAAGGGCUCUGCUGACCUGGCUGCUUCCUGGCUGCGAUCUCCUGGCUGUCUUUGCUCUGCAGAGUUGUUCUUUUUUACGCUUUUAAAACAACUUCUCAUGAAGUACGCUCACACUUUCACCUCUGCUGCCCUUUGUACAAGGGAGGCAUCCUCUAACAGCCCCAUCCCUUCUGCUCAUUCUCAGAUCUCUGCUUAGAAAUCUCAUCUCCUGUUGUGCCUGCUCACUUCCAGAGCGGGUCCUGUAGCCCAUCACCUAACAAUACUCACAGGCAAACACGUUGGACUGUUUCUCAGGACUGACCAGAUGCUCUGCUUUGUGUCUCUGUUCUUACUGCCUACAGG
RNAcentral lists this long non-coding RNA (924 nucleotides) under Gallus gallus (chicken). RNAcentral describes it as "long non-coding RNA NONGGAT007883". Lineage: Eukaryota; Metazoa; Chordata; Aves; Galliformes; Phasianidae. The record is from RNAcentral.